CCGUAGCUCAGUGGUAGAGCGGUCGGCUCAUAACCGAUUGGUCACAGGUUCGAACCCUGUCGGGCC
Molecule: transfer RNA, 66 nt
Filed under: marine eukaryotic metagenome
Rfam family: tRNA
About the family: Transfer RNA (tRNA) molecules are approximately 80 nucleotides in length. Their secondary structure includes four short double-helical elements and three loops (D, anti-codon, and T loops).
Source: RNAcentral